This 223-nucleotide ribosomal RNA is filed under the name uncultured Acholeplasma sp. RNAcentral's name for it is "partial 16S ribosomal RNA". It matches the Rfam family "Bacterial small subunit ribosomal RNA", at positions 1158 to 1381 of the family's 1533-position model. Lineage: Bacteria; Bacillati; Mycoplasmatota; Mollicutes; Acholeplasmatales; Acholeplasmataceae. The record is from RNAcentral.
GUAAACUGGAGGAAGGUGGGGAUGACGUCAAAUCAUCAUGCCCCUUAUGACCUGGGCUACAAACGUGAUACAAUGGCUGAACAAAGGGCAGCGAAGCAGUGAUGUGAAGCGAAACCCAAAAAAGCAGUCUCAGUUCGGAUUGAAGUCUGCAACUCGACUUCAUGAAGUCGGAAUCGCUAGUAAUCGCGAAUCAGAACGUCGCGGUGAAUACGUUCUCGGGUUU